RNAcentral lists this ribosomal RNA (448 nucleotides) under uncultured bacterium. RNAcentral's name for it is "bacterial SSU rRNA". It matches the Rfam family "Bacterial small subunit ribosomal RNA", at positions 329 to 794 of the family's 1533-position model. The record is from RNAcentral.
CGCCAGACUCCUACGGGAGGCAGCAGUGGGGGAUAUUGCACAAUGGGGGGAACCCUGAUGCAGCGACGCCGCGUGGGUGAAGAAGCGCCUCGGCGCGUAAAGCCCUGUCAGCAGGGAAGAAAAUGACGGUACCUGAAGAAGAAGCCCCGGCUAACUACGUGCCAGCAGCCGCGGUAAUACGUAGGGGGCAAGCGUUAUCCGGAUUUACUGGGUGUAAAGGGGGCGCAGACGGCGAUGCAAGCCAGGAGUGAAAGCCCGGGGCCCAACCCCGGGACUGCUCUUGGAACUGCGUGGCUGGAGUGCAGGAGGGGCAGGCGGAAUUCCUGGUGUAGCGGUGAAAUGCGUAGAUAUUAGGAAGAACACCAGUGGCGAAGGCGGCUUUCUGGACUGAAACUGACGCUGAGGCACGAAAGCGUGGGGAGCGAACAGGAUUAGAUACCCGCGUAAA